RNAcentral lists this ribosomal RNA (244 nucleotides) under uncultured bacterium. RNAcentral describes it as "partial 16S ribosomal RNA". It matches the Rfam family "Bacterial small subunit ribosomal RNA", at positions 524 to 765 of the family's 1533-position model. The record is from RNAcentral.
UACAGAGGGUGCGAGCGUUGUCCGGAAUCACUGGGCGUAAAGGGCGCGUAGGUGGUGGCUUAAGCGUGCGGUGAAAGCUCGGGGCUCAACCCCGAGUCGGCCGUGCGAACUGGGCUCACUGGAGCAUAGUAGAGGCAGGUGGAAUUCCGGGUGUAGCGGUGGAAUGCGUAGAGAUCCGGAAGAACACCGGUGGCGAAGGCGGCCUGCUGGGCAGUUGCUGACACUGAGGCGCGACGAGCGUGGG